RNAcentral lists this ribosomal RNA (253 nucleotides) under uncultured bacterium. Its description in RNAcentral is "partial 16S ribosomal RNA". It matches the Rfam family "Bacterial small subunit ribosomal RNA", at positions 524 to 776 of the family's 1533-position model. The record is from RNAcentral.
UACGUAGGGACCAAGCGUUGUUCGGAUUUACUGGGCGUAAAGGGCGCGUAGGCGGCAAUUCAAGUCAUCUGUGAAAUCUCCGGGCUUAACUCGGAAUGGUCAGGUGAUACUGCUUUGCUAGAGUGCAGAAGGGGCAAUCGGAAUUCUUGGUGUAGCGGUGAAAUGCGUAGAUAUCAAGAGGAACACCUGAGGUGAAGACGGGUUGCUGGGCUGACACUGACGCUGAUGCGCGAAAGCCAGGGGAGCAAACGGG